Molecule: ribosomal RNA, 468 nt
Filed under: uncultured bacterium
Lineage: Bacteria
Description: partial 16S ribosomal RNA
Rfam family: Bacterial small subunit ribosomal RNA
Source: RNAcentral
GACGAACGCUGGCGGCGUGCUUAACACAUGCAAGUCGAACGGAAAGGCCCUGCUUUUGUGGGGUGCUCGAGUGGCGAACGGGUGAGUAACACGUGAGUAACCUGCCCUUGACUUUGGGAUAACUUCAGGAAACUGGGGCUAAUACCGGAUAGGAGCUCCUGCUGCAUGGUGGGGGUUGGAAAGUUUCGGCGGUUGGGGAUGGACUCGCGGCUUAUCAGCUUGUUGGUGGGGUAGUGGCUUACCAAGGCUUUGACGGGUAGCCGGCCUGAGAGGGUGACCGGCCACAUGGGGACUGCGAUACGGCCCAGACUCCUACGGGAGGCAGCAGUGGGGAAUAUUGCACAAUGGGCGGAAGCCUGAUGCAGUAACGCCGCGUGCGGGAUGACGGCCUUCGGGUUGUAAACCGCUUUCGCCUGUGACGAAGCGUGAGUGACGGUAAUGGGUAAAGAAGCACCGGCUAACUACGUG